This 327-nucleotide ribosomal RNA is filed under the name uncultured eukaryote. RNAcentral describes it as "partial 18S ribosomal RNA". It matches the Rfam family "Eukaryotic small subunit ribosomal RNA", at positions 1470 to 1796 of the family's 1831-position model. The record is from RNAcentral.
CCCUUAGAUGUUCUGGGCCGCACGCGCGCUACACUGACGAAUGCAACGAGCUUAUAACCCUGGCCGAAAGGUCUGGGUAAUCUCCAAAUUUCGUCGUGAUGGGGAUAGAUUAUUGCAAUUAUUAAUCUUCAACGAGGAAUGCCUAGUAAGCGCAAGUCAUCAGCUUGCGUUGAUUACGUCCCUGCCCUUUGUACACACCGCCCGUCGCUCCUACCGAUUGAAUGGUCCGGUGAAGCGUUCGGACCGCUUCCUUUGGACGGGCAACCGUCUGUUGGUCGUGGGAAGUUCGUUAAACCUUAUCAUUUAGAGGAAGGAGAAGUCGUAACA